GCCAGAUGUGGUGGUGUACCCCUGUAAUCCCAGCAGCUUGGGAGGCUGAGGCAGGAGAAUUGCUAGUUCAAAGCCAGCCUCAGCAAAAGUGAGGCACUAAGCAACUCAGUGAGACCCUGUCUCUA
Molecule: small RNA, 125 nt
Filed under: Marmota monax (woodchuck)
Lineage: Eukaryota; Metazoa; Chordata; Mammalia; Rodentia; Sciuridae
Source: RNAcentral